UACGGGGGGGGCAAGCGUUGUUCGGAAUUACUGGGCGUAAAGGGCUCGUAGGCGGCCAACUAAGUCAGACGUGAAAUCCCUCGGCUUAACUGGGGAACUGCGUCUGAUACUGGAUGGCUUGAGUUCGGGAGAGGGAUGCGGAAUUCCAGGUGUAGCGGUGAAAUGCGUAGAUAUCUGGAGGAACACCGGUGGCGAAGGCGGCAUCCUGGACCGACACUGACGCUGAGGAGCGAAAGCCAGGGGAGCAAACGGG
This 253-nucleotide ribosomal RNA is filed under the name uncultured bacterium. RNAcentral's name for it is "partial 16S ribosomal RNA". It matches the Rfam family "Bacterial small subunit ribosomal RNA", at positions 524 to 776 of the family's 1533-position model. The record is from RNAcentral.